ACACCAGACUAAGGACUUCACAAAAGAUCUAAAGUGCCAGUAUAGGUUUUGAGCAGUAACGGUUGUCAUGACAUUAUUCCACAGGCCCCACCUGACACUCCUAGUUGGAAUACAAACUGGAAAACCACCUUUUUGCAGGGUAAUUUGGAAGUCAAAUGUGCAUGGCCCUUGCUGCAACAAUUUUACUUCCGGGGAUACACCCCACAGAAAAGCAUAGGUAGGCAAGGACAGAGGUAACAAGAAGGUCCCAACAGCAUUGUCCAUAAUAUCAAAAACUAGAAGUCACCUGCAUGGCUAUCACUGCAGAAUUUGGAAAACACAUUCUGUGCACCCACGUAAUACUACAAAGUCCCAUUAAAAUAUGCAAUAGAUGGGCUGGACAGACAUAUCUUUAAGAUACAUAUUCAGAGAGAUACUGCAGUGAA
This 425-nucleotide long non-coding RNA is filed under the name Homo sapiens (human). Its description in RNAcentral is "HSALNT0233634". The record is from RNAcentral. Lineage: Eukaryota; Metazoa; Chordata; Mammalia; Primates; Hominidae.